This 72-nucleotide transfer RNA is filed under the name Canis lupus familiaris (dog). It matches the Rfam family "tRNA". Rfam says of the family: Transfer RNA (tRNA) molecules are approximately 80 nucleotides in length. Their secondary structure includes four short double-helical elements and three loops (D, anti-codon, and T loops). The record is from Rfam by way of RNAcentral. RNAcentral also lists the same sequence under 2 other names. Lineage: Eukaryota; Metazoa; Chordata; Mammalia; Carnivora; Canidae.
GCCUAGCUGGUUCAGUGAUAGAGCCUGUGACUCCUGAUCUCAGGAUCAUGAAUUCACAUCUCAUGUUGGGCA